Podarcis lilfordi (Lilford's wall lizard) is the source of this 72-nucleotide non-coding RNA. Lineage: Eukaryota; Metazoa; Chordata; Lepidosauria; Squamata; Lacertidae. The record is from the annotation of a GenBank genome assembly.
GUCUAAUGGCUCAGUCUGUAGAGCAUGAGAUACCUAACCUCAGGGUUGUGGGUUUGAGCCCCAUGUUGGGCA